This 397-nucleotide transfer-messenger RNA is filed under the name bovine gut metagenome. It matches the Rfam family "transfer-messenger RNA". Rfam says of the family: Bacterial tmRNA, also known as 10Sa RNA or SsrA, is named for its dual tRNA and mRNA-like properties. Its role is to liberate the mRNA from a stalled ribosome. The record is from RNAcentral.
GGGGGUGUUUUGGUUUUGACAGCGUAGGUAUCGGACGGUAAGCACGUCGGGCGUGGGAGCCUUGCCCGUAAAUCUCAGACUCCGAAAAUCAGUUGCCAACAACAACUAUGCACUCGCUGCUUAAUCUGGCAUAGCCGAUUAGCUUAAUCCGAGGCGCCAAGGUUGCGCUUCCGACGAGUAUCCCUCGGACUUUCCGCCCUGUAUAGUCCGGCCCAGGGGUAUCAUCCAGACAGGGACGCACCGGCGGAUGUCUCUAAAGCCGGCCAAGAUUCAGAGGCUAAGGGUCCUGUAGCCCGCCUUCCGGCAGCUUCUCCCCGACAAUCAAAGGAAGGAUAAGCGUGUAGAAAGCCGCCGGGUGCGACGUUUGGACAGCGGUUCGAGUCCGCUCACCUCCACA